RNA transcript from Culex quinquefasciatus (southern house mosquito), 1522 nucleotides. RefSeq lists it as uncharacterized. The record is from RefSeq and is a predicted model, not a curated record. NCBI's taxonomy places the organism in Eukaryota, Metazoa, Arthropoda, Insecta, Diptera, Culicidae. The transcript has 4 exons.
ACAUUGCAUACAAUUCAACCAUUCACAUAUUCUCAUUCACAUCCCGUGAUAAUAAAAUCUUGCCAGCGCGAAAAUUAAUCAAAACAAAACGGCGAAUUCCUUUUACAGGUGGUGGUGAUAUUGACCUCGAAACAAGCUUGACGAUCAUUCAGCAAGACGCUGGUGUUUCCCAGAGUCGUAGGAAUUCAGCAAGCCGGCAUCUGAUCUGAGUUUCAUGCGAUAUUAGUCAUCACUUGUCAGUUUGUCUUGCCUCAGUUAGUACGAAUUUUUCGUACGCUUCGUUAGGCAAACAUGAAUUUGAGUGGAGUUUUUUAUGGAUUCUUCCGAAUUGUUAUACCAGUGCUCGUGUACCUUAUGUGUUUUGUUGUUGUCUUCAAAAUUUGCUCAAAACUGUGCAAACGACGCAGAGCUGAGAGGCCAGUCUUGCUGCGCGUUUCUUCGGUCCCAUCGAACAUCAAUCUUGCACGACAAAUACCGCCAAGGCCAACUCCAGUGACCAUUCCGAGCGCUCCCCCAUUGGAGGUAGUCUCCUCGGGUGCAGAAGGGCACCGGCAGCCGCCUGCUGUGACCGAUUUAGAAGCACAGAAUCCACCGAGCUACGAGGAGGUGACAAGCGAUAGUUACAACCAGCAACUACCUGCUUAUCCUGGAUUCACCCGGUAGCGUGUUGCUGAUUUCGAUGAUUUUGAUGCAGUUGUCCGAUUCCAUGAAAUAGUAUUUUGGAUAAUUAUUGGAACAGUUGUAGGGUGCGUCUUUCUAUGCUUUAUAAUUUGCAUAAUUUUUGUCCAACGUUACAGACGCAACACUAAUCCGGGUACAAUCUACACCUCUCCAGUGGUCAUCACUUCACAGCAGCAUUAUCCCGCCGCUGGUUCCCCAAACGUGGUGGUCAAUCCGAUCGUUUAUGCGCCGCCAAACACCGGUUACCAGCCAAUGCAGAUGCAGCAGCAGCCACAGCAAUAUCUGCUGGCAACUGCCCCGCAAAUGGAGUUUGGCCAGAACACGCAGGGUCCUCCCAGCUACCAACAGGCCACCUACUUCCAACAUCAGGAGGCGUAUAAUCCAGAGUACAGAAAACAAUAGAUAAGUGGAGGAGACACCGCCGCAAAUGCACAGAAUAUUCGUCCAACGGGCGCCUUAGAAUCUCAGGGAUUUUGUACAGAACAUGUUUGUUUGAAGUUUGAUUUUAUCAGUUUUUUUGUAAGUUGCCAAAUUUAACUUAAAUAAUUUAAAAUGACAAAAUUUUAAUUAUUUAUAUAUGACACAAAAAAAAGAAGAAACAGCGGUUUAUGAUCAAUAUGUUUUAGGACCUUGGAACUUCAAAAUUAAAAUACUUUAGGAGAGUUUAUUCAGUUGACAAAUUUAAUAAAAAUUAGCAGAUCGAGGGUAUGCUUAAACAGUUGUUGUUUAAAAACCACCAAGUGGAAAUCAAGUGCUAUUCGCAGAAGUGUCAGAAUAAUACUCAAAGUGCAUUUAAAAUUAUACAUUCAUGUUUAAGGGAUUUACAUAAAUUUACAUUCUG